Long non-coding RNA from Galleria mellonella (greater wax moth), 851 nucleotides. RefSeq lists it as uncharacterized. The transcript has 3 exons. The record is from RefSeq and is a predicted model, not a curated record. NCBI's taxonomy places the organism in Eukaryota, Metazoa, Arthropoda, Insecta, Lepidoptera, Pyralidae.
GUAUUUUACUCCCAGCUGAACCCAGUCAGUAAUUUAAAGGUACCACCAUGUUUUUUAAAUGAAUGAAAAUGUUACAGUUAAUCCCAUCUUAGGCUAUCGUUUUACGCUGACAGAGUACUAGUGAGGGAUAAUAAAUGAAAUCAUGGGGGUAUCAUGGAUGAAACAGUAGGUAUACUCUGUUAUGUCCGUGGUACUGUUCAUGUCUAUAGGCAACGGUUACCACUUUCCAUCAGGUGGGUUAUCAGCUUGUAUACCAUUCUAAGUUGUAUAAAAAAUAUAUACUUAAUAAGCCAUUCGAUAUUUCGAGUAUACUAGGUGAAAUAAUAAUCGAUUAUUUGACAACCCUAAUCGGCAGGUGAACUUUAGUGUAUCAGGAAACCGCUUUUGUUUGUACUGCAUAGAUGCAGCUACAAAUAUGGUCAAGCUUGCACGCAUAUGGUCAACAGCCAUAACGGCGGUGUAUGCCAUCGAUAACAAUGUAGAAAUAGAGGAAUUACACUUACACACACAUCAUUACCGGGCAGCGUGUUAUCAUUGCUUGAAAUCUACGAGAUUUCUAAGUAACAAGUGGAAUAAAUGAUGAAAUCGUAUGAAUGUUGCGAGACGUAACUAUAUCGAGUGAAAGAGAUACGGAACAAACGAAUCGAUGCAACAAACUCAUAAAAACAAGAUAAAAAUGGAGCGAGGCGAGGCGCUGUGACGUAAAGCGCUGUACGCUCCCCGAAGAAGACUUCCGGAUGAAGUCGAAACAAUUGUCGGAAACGAAAGAAACACAGUGAAUUCAUUAAUUUCCCAUUAUAUAUGUAUAUAGAUAUCGAAGAACUAUGAACAUAAGUUAUAAAAAUAAUAAA